GAUGAACGCUAGCGGGAGGCCUAACACAUGCAAGCCGAGCGGCAUUGUUUCUUCGGAACUGAGAGCGCGGCGUACGCGUGCGUAACACGCGUGCAACCUGCCUCUAUCUGGGGGAUAGCCUUUCGAAAGGAAGAAUAAUACUCCAUAAUAUACUGAACGGCAUCGUUUAAUAUUGAAAGCUCCGGCGGUUAGAGAUGGGCACGCGCAAGAUUAGCUAGUUGGUGAGGUAACGGCUCACCAAGGCGAUGAUCUUUAGGGGGCCGGAGAGGGUGAUCCCCCACGAUGGUACUAAGGCACAGACCAGACUGCUACGGAGGGGAGCAGUAAGGAAGACUAGGCAAGGAAUGCAAGCCUGACCCAGCCAUGCCGCGUGAAAAGCGACUGCGGUAGGGAUUGUAAACUUCUUGUGAAUAAAGAUAAUCCGACCCUCGAGAGGGUAGCUGAAGGUACUAGACGAAUAAGCACCGGCUAACUCCGUG
RNAcentral lists this ribosomal RNA (479 nucleotides) under uncultured bacterium. RNAcentral describes it as "partial 16S ribosomal RNA". It matches the Rfam family "Bacterial small subunit ribosomal RNA", at positions 28 to 507 of the family's 1533-position model. The record is from RNAcentral.